CGGCGGACGGGUGAGUAGCACGUGGAUAACCUACCUAUAAGACUGGGAUAACUUCGGGAAACCGGAGCUAAUACCGGAUAAUAUAUUGAACCGCAUGGUUCAAUAGUGAAAGACGGUUUUGCUGUCACUUAUAGAUGGAUCCGCGCCGCAUUAGCUAGUUGGUAAGGUAACGGCUUACCAAGGCAACGAUGCGUAGCCGACCUGAGAGGGUGAUCGGCCACACUGGAACUGAGACACGGUCCAG
RNAcentral lists this ribosomal RNA (244 nucleotides) under uncultured Staphylococcus sp. RNAcentral describes it as "partial 16S ribosomal RNA". It matches the Rfam family "Bacterial small subunit ribosomal RNA", at positions 96 to 334 of the family's 1533-position model. Lineage: Bacteria; Bacillati; Bacillota; Bacilli; Caryophanales; Staphylococcaceae. The record is from RNAcentral.